UUGUCUCUCUUUAGGUCGUGUUGUCUCUCUUUAGGUCGUGUUGUCUCUCUUUAGGUCGUGUUGUCUCUCUUUAGGUCGUGUUGUCUCUCUCUGUCGUGUUGUCUCUCUUUAUGUAGUGUUGUCAUCUCUAUGUAGUGUUGUCGUCUCUCUUUAUGUAGUGUUGUCUCUCUUUAUGUAGUGUUGUCUCUUUAUGUAGUGUUGUUGUCUCUCUUUAUGUAGUGUUGUGUUGUCUCUCUUUAUGUAGUGUUGUUGUCUCUCUUUAUGUAGUGUUGUCUCACUUUAUGUAGUGUUGUCCCUCUGUAUGUCGUGUUGUCGUCUCUCUUUAUGUAGUGUUGUCUCUCUUUAUGUAGUGUUGUGUUGUCUCUCUUUAUGUAGUGUUGUUGUCUCUCUUUAUGUAGUGUUGUUGUCUCUCUUUAUGUAGUGUUGUUGUCUCUCUUUAUGUAGUGUUGUGUUGUCUCUCUUUAUGUAGUGUUGUUGUCUCUCUUUAUGUAGUGUUGUCGUCUCUAUGUAUGUAGUGUUGUCGUCUCUAUGUAGUGUUGUUGUCUCUCUUUAUGUAGUGUUGUCUCUCUUUAUGUAGUGUUGUUGUCUCUCUUUAUGUAGUGUUGUUGUCUCUCUUUAUGUAGUGUUGUGUUGUCUCUCUUUAUGUAGUGUUGUCUCUUUAUGUAGUGUUGUGUUGUCUCUCUUUAGGUCGUGUUGUCUCUUUAUGUAGUGUAGUGUUGUCUCUAUGUAGUGUUGUCUCUCUUUAUGUAGUGUUGUGAUGUCUCUAUUUAUGUAGUGUUGUUGUCUCUCUUUAUGUAGUGUUGUGUUGUCUCUCUUUAUGUAGUGUUGUUGUCUCUCUUUAUGUAGUGUUGUCUCUCUGUAUGUAGUGUUGUCUCUCUUUAUGUAGUGUAGUGAUGUCUCUCUUUAUGUUGUGUUGUGGUGUCUCUCUUUAUGUAGUGUUGUCUCUCUUUAUGUAGUGUUGUCUCUCUUUAUGUAGUGUUGUCUCUCUUUAUGUAGUGUAGUGUUGUCUCUCUUUAUGUAGUGUAGUGUUGUCUCUAUUUAUGUAGUGUUGUCUCUAUGUAGUGUAGUGUUGUCUCUCUUUAUGUAGUGUUGUUGUCUCUUUAUGUAGUGUUGUCUCUCUUUAUGUAGUGUAGUGUUGUCUCUCUUUAUGUAGUGGUGUCUCUCUUUAUGUAGUGUUGUUGUCUCUCUUUAUGUAGUGUUGUCUCUCUUUAUGUAGUGUAGUGUUGUCUCUCUUUAUGUAGUGUUGUGUUGUCUCUCUUUAUGUAGUGUUGUCGUCUCUCUUUAUGUAGUGUAGUGUUGUCUCUCUUUAUGUAGUGUUGUGUUGUCUCUCUUUAUGUAGUGUUGUCUCUCUUUAUGUGGUGUUGUCUCUCUGUAUGUAGUGUUGUCUCUCUGUAUGUAGUGUAGUGAUGUCUCUAUUUAUGUAGUGUUGUUGUCUCUCUUUAUGUAGUGUUGUCUCUCUUUAUGUAGUGUUGUCUCUCUUUAUGUAGUGUUGUCUCUCUUUGUGUAGUGUUGUCUCUCUUUGUGUAGUGUAGUGAUGUCUCUCUUUAUGUAGUGUUGUUGUCUCUCUUUAUGUAGUGUUGUCUCUCUUUAUGUAGUGUUGUCUCUCUUUAUGUAGUGUUGUCUCUCUUUAUGUAGUGUUGUCUCUCUGUAUGUAGUGUUGUCUCUCUUUAUGUAGUGUUGUCUCUCUGUAUGUAGUGUUGUCUCUCUUUAUGUAGUGUUGUCUCUCUUUAUGUAGUGUAGUGGUGUUGUCUCUCUUUAUGUAGUGUUGUUGUCUCUCUGUAGUGUUGUCUCUCUUUAUGUAGUGUAGUGAUGUCUCUCUUUAUGUUGUGUUGUGUUGUCUCUCUUUAUGUAGUGUUGUUGUCUCUCUUUAUGUAGUGUUGUCUCUCUUUAUGUAGUGUUGUUGUCUCUCUUUAUGUAGUGUAGUGUUGUCUCUCUUUAUGUAGUGUUGUCUCUCUUUAUGUAGUGUAGUGUUGUUGUCUCUCUUUAUGUAGUGUAGUGUUGUCUCUCUGUAUGUAGUGUUGUCUCUCUUUAUGUAGUGUAGUGUUGUCUCUCUUUAUGUAGUGUUGUGUUGUCUCUCUUUAUGUAGUGUAGUGUUGUCUCUCUUUAUGUAGUGUUGUCUCUCUUUAUGUAGUGUUGUCUCUCUUGUCGUGAUGUGUGUUCUGUCCUAUAUUUAUAUUGUAUUUAUUCAUGUAUUUAUUUA
Oncorhynchus tshawytscha (Chinook salmon) is the source of this 2200-nucleotide long non-coding RNA. NCBI's taxonomy places the organism in Eukaryota, Metazoa, Chordata, Actinopteri, Salmoniformes, Salmonidae. The record is from Ensembl.